RNAcentral lists this ribosomal RNA (468 nucleotides) under uncultured bacterium. Its description in RNAcentral is "partial 16S ribosomal RNA". It matches the Rfam family "Bacterial small subunit ribosomal RNA", at positions 28 to 507 of the family's 1533-position model. The record is from RNAcentral.
GACGAACGCUGGCGGCGUGCUUAACACAUGCAAGUCGAACGGAAAGGCCCUGCUUUUGUGGGGUGCUCGAGUGGCGAACGGGUGAGUAACACGUGAGUAACCUGCCCUUGACUUUGGGAUAACUUCAGGAAACUGGGGCUAAUACCGGAUAGGAGCUCCUGCUGCAUGGUGGGGGUUGGAAAGUUUCGGCGGUUGGGGAUGGACUCGCGGCUUAUCAGCUUGUUGGUGGGGUAGUGGCUUACCAAGGCUUUGACGGGUAGCCGGCCUGAGAGGGUGACCGGCCACGUUAGGAUUGGGAUGAGGCCCGGACUACACCGGGACGGAGCGGUGGGGAAGAUUGCACUAUGGGCGGAAGCCUGGUGCAGCAAAGCCGCGUGGGGGAUGACGGCCUUCGGGUAGUAUUCCGAUUUCGCCUGUGACGAAGCGUGAGUGACGGUAAUGGGUAAAGAAGCACCGGCUAACUACGUG